This is a long non-coding RNA of Apis florea (little honeybee), 751 nucleotides long. The record is from RefSeq and is a predicted model, not a curated record. NCBI's taxonomy places the organism in Eukaryota, Metazoa, Arthropoda, Insecta, Hymenoptera, Apidae.
AAGAUGCAAUCUCAAAAGUGCAGAAGUUUUGCGUAAACAAUGAGUAAUUAAUGAAUUUUCCAUGUGGUGUUUCCGAAAUGGUGGGGGAUGCUCUCUGUCCUUCUCGCACAAUGUUGCUUUCCUUGUCUUUGAGUUAGCAUACCUCCUUGCAUAUCCUGCUAUGCUAGUAACAAGUCGGAGCUUCGCGGAUCCAAACGCGAGAUGGCGCUGAUUAAAAUUUUUCGAUCGUUACCUAAGUUAUCGACACAAUAUAUUUUAAAUGUUUAUGGAAUUAAAGAAACAUAACCACAAUUGUAAUAUCCAGAAAUAUUUGUUCGAGAAAUAUUAAAAAAAUCCACAUUCUUCUAAAUAUUGCGAAACAAGAAAGUUAGAAAACUAUUGGGAAAAAUAGAAAGAGGAUAUUAUUUGGAAAAAGAGGGGAAAAAAAGAUCUCAUGAUAUAUGUAGAAGACAAUUCAUUUGCGCAUUUCGAGAUGGAAAUCUGUUAAAUCCGGACUUUCGUUCAAAUUCCAACUUCCAGAGAUAUGAACAUGGUCAAUAGAUUAUCAGAUUAAAUGAAAAUUAUUAAUUUAUGUUAAUUAUGUAUAAAUUCAAGUUAAAAAAUGAAAAAUGAAAUAAGAAAUUUUAAAUUGGAUUAAAAACAAUAUCAAUACCCACAGAUCAUAUCCUGGAUUACAUAGUCAAUUUAUAAAGCCAAAAUUAGAGAUAGAAGGAUCUAAAGAUUCAAAAUGUAAAUGUAAUUUCGAAUGCGA